Molecule: long non-coding RNA, 3076 nt
Organism: Leopardus geoffroyi (Geoffroy's cat)
Lineage: Eukaryota; Metazoa; Chordata; Mammalia; Carnivora; Felidae
Exons: 4
Source: RefSeq, a predicted model, not a curated record
AGCCCUCCUUAGAAUCCACUAAAUAAUUUAAGAAUUAAAUCCUAAGUGAAAAUCAGACUGAGAAUGUAAACCUAUCUCCAGCUGGAAUGAGAGACACAGACCAUUUCUCCCCAGGACACCGCAGCCACAGAACGUCCUGACAGACCCCGCUAAGGGACUACUGCUUUCUGCCUCACCAAGAAACCUUGUCCUCUGCAACCAGAGACUAUCAGAAAUUUGCUCUUAGUGGUUCUAUCAAUAAAAGUGAAACCUCUUACCUUUGCCUGGAGGAUCUAAAGCAAUCUAACACAAAGCAGCAGCCUUCAUUUCCAACCCAGGGGCAGGAUCUCAAGGGAUUUCUGAACACGAUGUUCAUCUUUAAGAAAACAGGCCCCUCGGUCCCCUUCUCAGUCCGGGGCUGACAAUAACCUGUUUAGAUGCAGCCCUGUUUCAUUUCAAUUGCCUGUAUCCCAUCCUGCCCCUAUGCCUGGGGAGGGAGGACUCCUUUCCUCCGGUUGGUGAGGUGCCCACAGUUCCUCUGAUAUGUGGCCUCCCUCCCCGGUUAUGUGUUAAUACAUCUGUCAGACUACAGAUUCAUCCCUGGUGGCUGGGACGGGUGUUCUUUAUUAAAGAUCCCACAGGAAGAAGUGGACAGGGUCUGGACAUCUGUGGCAAGUUAACAGAUCUUUGUAACAUCUGUCACAUCGCCAACCACUUAACCGACAAUUCCACGUAGAUGUCCUACUAACACCUCGGUCCCAGCCGCCGCUUCAAACGCGUCUGUCCUCUAACACUUCGGUGGAUGUGCCCGUACGCACCCCCACACUUCGAUCCUGCCCCCUCCUCGUCGCUACAGCACAGGCCCUCCCUUCUAGCUCGGAUUGUCCCAACAGCUCCCGAACUGGGUUCCUGACCCUCCUUGAUCCGUCUGUCGUGCUGCUGCCAGGCAUGGUCUCUCCCCAGCCCACAGCUGGUCCCAUCCCUUGCUGGAAGGUCUUUCCGGGUAUCCCUGCACUCUAAGGUCCACAUCCAAACUCCUCAGCAAGACAGACAAGGCCAUUCGUGGCUUGGUCUCUGUCCUCCCUGAAAUGCCGGCCCCACAGAGCCCCUCCAGCUCCUAGAUGUGUUUCUUUCUUGCGCACUGUACUUCCAGGCCUCUGUGUGCUCCACCCUCUGCCCGAACCGCUCUCUUCCCAGGCCUUCCCCUCCUCGGUUCACAGUCCAGGAUCCUCGACAUGGCGCACGCGCUCUCUCUCUCCAAGCUAGUAAGCCAACGAGCAGUUACCGAGAAGGACCGUGUACGCGAAAUGCUAGCAUCCUCUAAGCCGCUACAUGAGAUACGGGACAGCAGUGCGAAUGGCAACGCUCUGGAAUUUCCACAACGUAUCAAAGGUUUAUACGAAAAAGACAGUAUCUGAAAUUGAUAAUGGGAUCGGGUCUCUCGGAUGAUGCCGGAAUGAUGGAUCUCAUCCCUGCUCCUUCCUCUGCUGAACCGACAGGAGACUUUACACAGCCUGUUACACAAGUUAGGCUGACGAGCACCAUUAAAAGCCACAAAGCAAGAGCGAAGAGUAAUUCGUUGUGGUGACACCUAGCAUUUCAGCUGUUGGCCACGCUUCUUAGGUAACAAAGGUCCUUUUCCUACCGGACCUCAGCUGAUCUUGGACAAGUCACUUCACCUUUCUAAGCCUUAGGUCCUACCGUGUAAAACAGACACACAAGUACUCACGAGACCGAAUGAAAAAUAAAGCUCAUAAAAAAAAAUGUCUCACCCAGGAUGGACUCAAACGAUACUUGCAUUUCUGACCCCUCCCUGCCCAUGUACCCCCCUGCCUUCUCACACACCGCUCCGGAAAACAUCUUUCCGUUUCUAGACUCUGGCUACUGGGGUAAGGCUGCAACAGCUGAUACCUGCGCAGAGCGCUCCGGUGAGGCGGGAGGUAGCUGAGAAAGAGCACCGCACUGCAGAAUCAGACCGUUUUAACCAGGAAAGUGGCCACGAUGGUCAAAGGCUGCAGAAGUCAAUUUCACUGUUUUGCUGCACUACCCACCGCCCUCCUGCAUUGGGGUUGGCUUUGCAGGCUACACUCGUUCUCUCCACCAACGCUCCCGUCCUAAUGCUCAGGGGGCUCCAGCAUCUGCGGGGUCAGUCCUCCCGUGGCCCAGGCCUCCUGGCUCCUUGACCUCAUCCGUGACCUUGUCCCCCAACCUUCCUCCCAGGAUCAAAGUGUAGGCCUCGGCCUUGCCAAUAAAUCCAGCUUGUCCGCAGUCCCAAUUCUGAGUAUCCUGCUCUCCAACCACCAGCUCUUCCCUUUCUCUGUGAGACCCAGACGCCAAUAACCCACCCGCCACCUUGUCACUGGCUCCCUCUCCUUUCCUCAUGCCGCCUCACAGCCAAACUCCAAGCUUUCCAAUGGCUUCUCGCAGCACUCAGAUUAAAUGCCACGGCCCCUGGCCUCCGGUCGCCUCUCCGACCCUGACUUCCGCUGCUCCCUCCUUGCUGUUCCUUAAACAGCAGGGCCGUUGUGUUGUCCCGCUGCCCUCCUGAGGAUGCUCCUUCAGUACGCCCCGCAGUGAAGGCUGAUGCCCUGCUCUCCGGGCCUGUGUCGAUGCAGGUGGCCAUCACCGAGACAUCGACUCUCCAUGGGAAUCCCAUGAGGUACAUGGCAUGAUGCUGAUCUGACCAGGAGCUCAUCUAAAGCAGGUUCUCGGACUGCCUCACUCCCUGCCCAGCCCUCCGGAUGAUCUGUUCGCACGCUACCUAGCACACUCUGCAGCAGCACGAUGGGAGUGAAAAAGCACAGACAAAUUCAGGUUCAAAUCUGCCAUGGGCCAGCGGGGCCUGACUUCGAACUGCAGUUCUGCCACUGACGGACCAAUAGAUGAUCUUUAAAGUGUCAGGUAACAUCUCCCAAAUGCCUCCCUGAUGUAAGUGCACAAAACACGCCUGGAUUACCAGAGGUCUCUCUGCUGCUCACAGAAACUAGAUGUGACACGCCUCGGACAAGGCUUCAUUUCGUCAUCGACCACUCACCCUGUAAGCUCUAUGCAUUUUAACAGCGGAGGGAAACGCAUCCGAGUGUGCCUUACCCACUGU